RNAcentral lists this long non-coding RNA (3929 nucleotides) under Homo sapiens (human). RNAcentral describes it as "HSALNT0191344". Lineage: Eukaryota; Metazoa; Chordata; Mammalia; Primates; Hominidae. The record is from RNAcentral.
AGCUGGGUGUGGUGGCGUGCACCUGUAAUCCCAGCUACUCAGGAGGCUGAGGCAGGAGAAUGGCUUGAAUCCAUGAGGCGGAGAUUGCAGUGAGCCGAGAUGGUGCCACUGCACUCCAGCCUGGCGACAGAGUGAGACUCCAUCACCGACCCGCCCCCCAUCCCACGAAAAAAAAACAAAACAAUUUAUGGAUGAGGAACCUGAGACACAGAGAGGUUAAGCAAACAGGUUCACAAAGCUAGAGAGUGGCAGAGCUAGCAUUUGAACCUAAGCAGUUGAGCUCCAGAGUCUGUGCUUCAUUACUCUGCCACUCAAAGCUGACAUGGUGUAUUAGUUUUCUGUGGCUGCUGUAACAAAUUACCACAAAUUUAGUGGCUGAAAACAACAAAAAUUUAUUAUCUUAGUGUUGUAAGUCAGAAUUCCUAAAAUCAAGCUGUUAGCAGCACUGUGAUCCUUUCUGGAAGCUAUAAGGAAGAACACAUUUCUUGGCCUUUUCCAGCUUCUAGAGCCCACCCAUGUUCCUUGGUUCAUAAUCUCCUGCCUCCGUCUUCAAAACCAGCAUCUCUCUGACUCCUCUGUAGUUGCAUCACUUUCUUUGACCAUAGUUAGGAAGAGUUCUCUUUUGUAUUUACCUAUUUUAUUUGAAUUGUGGUAAAAAAACAUAAAAUUUACAAUCUGAACCAUUUUUAAUUGCACAGUUCAAUAGUGUUAAGUAUAUUCACAUUCCUGUGAAACGGAUCUCUAGAAAUUUUUCACCCCUCAGUCUGAAACUUUGUACCCAUUAAACAUCUGUUUUCCCCCUUCCCCUUAUCUCCUGGUAACCACCAUUCUACUUUCCGUUUCUAUGAAUUUUAGAUACCUCAUAUAAGCAGAAUCAUAUAGCAUUUAUCUUUUUGUGACUGGCUUAUUUCAUUAAGCAUAAUGUACUCAAUGAAGCUUCAUCCAUGUUGUAGAAUGUGACACAAUUUCCUUCCUUUUUAAGGCUGAAUAAUAUUUCACUGUAUGUAUAUAACACAUUUUAUUUAUUCAUUCAUCCAUGAGGGACAUUUGGGUUGCUUCCAUCUCUUGAGGGUAGUGAAUAGCAAUGCCAUGAGCAUGGGAUUGAGACCCUGCUAUCUCUUUGGGACCCUGCUUUCAAUUCUUUUGGAUAUACAUCCAGAAGUGGAAUCACUAGAUCAUAUGGUAGUUCUAUUUUUAAUUUUUUGGGGAACCUCUAAACUGUUUUCUAUAGUGGUCACACUGUUUCACAUCCCAACACAGUGCACAGGUUUCAUUUCUCCACAUACUUGACCACAUUUGUUAUUUUCCUUUUUUUUUUUUUUUUUGAGUUGUCAUCCUAAUGGGUGUGGGUGACAUCUUUGUGUGGUUUUGAUUUGCAUUUCUCUAAAAAUUAGUGAUGUUGAGUGCAUUUUCAUAUGCUUAUAUAUUUGUAUAUCAUCUUUGGAGAAACAUCUAUUCAAGUUCUGUGCCUAUAUUUUAAUUGGAUUUUUUAAUUUUUCAGUUGUUGAGUUGUAGUUCUUUAUAUUCUAAAUAUUAGCUCCUUAUCAGAGAUAUGAUUUGUAAUUAUUUUCCCCAUUCUAUACGGUGUCUUUCACUCUGAUUGUAUUCUUUGAUGCACGACAAUUUUUAAAUUUAAGGUAGUCUCAUUUGUCUAUUUUUGCUUUUCUUGCCUGUGCUUUUGUUGUCAUAUCCAAAACAUCAUUGCAAAGUCAAAUGUCAUGAAGCUUUCUCCUGUGUUUUCUUCUAGGAGUUUUAAAGUUUUAGAUCUUAUGUUAAUGGGCUUUUUUCUUUUUUUUUCAGAUGGGGUCUUGCUCUGUCACCCAGGCUGGAGUGCAGCCAGUGGCACGAUCUUGGCUCGCUGCAACCUCUGUUCCUGGACUCAAGAGAUCCUUCCAUCUCAGUCUUCUGAAGAGCUGGGACCACAGGUGCACGCCAUCAUGUCCAGCUAAUUUUUUGUACUUUUUGUAGAGACAGGGUUUUGUAAUGUUUCCCAGGCUGGUCUCAACCUCUUGGACUCAAGCGAUCCACCCUUCUUGGCCUCCCAAAGUGCUGGGAUUACAGGAGUGAGCCACUGCACUCAGCCAAGAUCUUAUGUUAAUGUCUUUAACCCACUUUGAGUUAAUUUUUGUAUACAGCGUAAGGUAAGGAUCCAAUUUCAUUCUUUUACAUGCAGAUACCCAGUAUUCCAAUAUCAUUUGUUGAAGAAAGUAUCCUUUGGCAUUGUCUAUUAUUGGUACCUUUGUUGAACGUCAUUUGCCCAUAUGUAAGAUAAUUUAUUUCUGGGCUCUCUAUUCUAUUCCCUUGGUCUAUUUGUCUGUCUUUAUGACAGAACACAUCCGUUUGAUUACUGUCUCAUUGUAAUAAUUUUUGAAAUAAGAAAAUGUGAGUCAUCCAAUUUUGUUACUCUUUUUCAAAAUUGUUUUAGCCAUUUAGGGUCCCUUGAGAUUCCAUAUGAAUUUUAGGAUGAAUUUUUCUAUUUUGCAACAAAUGUCAUUGGAAUUUUUUUCCUUUUUUUGAGACAGGGUCUUGAUGUGUUGCCCCGGCUCGAGUGUAGUGGUGGAAUCAUGGCUCACUGCAGCCUCAACCUCCCAGGCUCAAUAGAUCCUCCCAGCUUAGUCUCCUGAGUAGCUGGGGCUACAGGAGUAUGCCACCAUACCCAGCUAAUUUUUGUAUUUUUUUGUAGAAAUGAGUUUCACCAUGUCGCCUAUGUUGGUCUCAAACUCCUGGGCUCAAGAGAUCCGCCCGCUUUGGCCUCCCAAAGAGCUGGGGUUACAGGUAUGAGGCACUGUGUCUGGCCCCCACUGGAAUUCUGAUAGGGAUUGUACUGAAUCUGCAGAUUGCUUUGGGUAGUAUGAACAUCUUAACAAUAUUGUCUUCCAAUCCAUGAACACAAGAUGUCUUUUAAUUUAUUUGUGUCUUCUCUCAAUUCUUUCAGCAAUGUUCUAUAAUUUUCAGCAUACAAGUGUUUUACCUCCUUGGUUAGGUUUAUUCCUAAGUAUUUUAUUCUUUUUGAUGCUAUUGUAAAUUGCGUUUUUCUUAAUUUCCUUUUCAGAUUGUUUAUUGAUAAUGUACAGAAAUGCAACUAAUUUUUGUGUUGAUUUUGUAUCUUGCAACUUGGUGACUUCAUUUAUUAAUUCUAAUAGUUUUUUUUGUGAAAUCUUUAUGGUUUUCUACAUAUAAGAUCAUGUUAACUGCCAACAGAGGUAGUUUCACUUCUUUCCUUCCAAUCUGGAUACUUUUAUUUCUUUUUCUUGUCUAAUGGCUGUGGCUAGAAAUUCUAAUACUAUGUUGAAUAGAAGUGGCCAGAGUGGGCAUCUUGGCCUUCUUCCUGAUUUUAGAGGAAAAGCUUUCAGUCUUUCACCAUUGAGUAUGUUAGCUGUAGACUUUGCAUAAAUCGCCUUUAAUAGUUGAAGUAGUUUACUUCUAUCCCUGGUUUGUUGAGUGUUUUAUUAUGAAAGGGUGUUGAAUCUUGUCAAAUGUGUUUCCUACAUCCAUUGAAAUGAUUGUGUGGCUUUUGCUCUUCAUUUUGUAAAUGUGGUGUAUUACACUGACUGAGUUUCACCAGCUGAACCAUCCUUGCAGUCCAGAAUAAAUCUUAUUUGGUCGUGCUGUAUAAUCUGUUUCAUGUGCUAUUGAAUUCUGUUUGCUAGUAUUUUGUGGAAGAUUUUUGCACCACUAUUUAUCAGGGAUAUUGGUGUGUAGUUUUCUUUUCUUGUAGUGUCUUUCACUGUGGUAUCAGGGUCAUGAUAGCCUCAUAGAUUAAGCUUAGAAGUGUUUCCUCCUCUUCAAUUUUUUGGAAGACUUUGAGGAAAAUAAAUGUUAAUUAGUCUUUACAUGUUUGGUAGAAUUCUCCAGUGAAGUCAUCUGGUCCUGGACUUUUCUUUGUUGGGAGGUUUUUGAUUAUUGACUCAAUCUUCUUAUUUGUUAUU